Molecule: ribosomal RNA, 433 nt
Filed under: uncultured bacterium
Lineage: Bacteria
Description: partial 16S ribosomal RNA
Rfam family: Bacterial small subunit ribosomal RNA
Source: RNAcentral
AACGAACGCUGGCGGCAUGCCUAACACAUGCAAGUCGAACGAGACCUUCGGGUCUAGUGGCGCACGGGUGCGUAACGCGUGGGAACCUGCCCUUAGGUUCGGAAUAACUCCCCGAAAGGGGUGCUAAUACCGGAUAAUGUCUUCGGACCAAAGAUUUAUCGCCUUUGGAUGGGCCCGCGUUGGAUUAGCUAGUUGGUAGGGUAAAAGCCUACUAAGGCGACGAUGCAUAGCUGGUCUGAGAGGAUGAUCAGCCACACUGGGACUGAGACACGGCCCAGACUCCUACGGGAUGGAGGAGUGGGGAAUAGUGGAAAAUGGGGGAAGGCAUGAUCCAGCAAUGCCGGGUGAGUGAUGAAGGCCGUAGGGUUGUAAAGCGCUUUUACCCGGGAUGAUAAUGACAGUACCGGGAGAAUAAGCUCCGGCUAACUCCGUG